This 87-nucleotide ribosomal RNA is filed under the name Saimiri boliviensis boliviensis (Bolivian squirrel monkey). Lineage: Eukaryota; Metazoa; Chordata; Mammalia; Primates; Cebidae. The record is from RNAcentral.
GGCUAUGGCCAUAGCACCCUGAACAGGCCUGAUCCUUUCUGGUCUUAGACGCUAACCAGGGUCGGGAGAAUUAUUCAGCAAUAACAG